UGCCGCCCCAGCCCCCCGGGCCCCUGGGAGCUGAUGGGUGGCCAUGGAUCUGUAUCUCGGCAACUGCCGCAAGGCUGCCAAAGCCGCCGCCACUAAGGCAGCCGCCUGCAGCCGAACUGCAGGCACGGAGCAGUGCGACAACAGCUCGCAAAAAAACCCACUCCAGAGGUCGGAGCAGCUGAUCUAUUGGAUCUUACUCUUGUGGUCAAACUGCCUGUUAUCCCAGGAAGCAAUAAUGUGUUCUACACUACAGAUAUAAGUGAAAAGAAACCUGGUGAUGCCGGGAUUCUUUUUCACAAAGCCGAAGAAUGAGCUUCACAAACACUCAAGCUUUAUCAACCUUCUUAUGAUUUUAACCUGUCUGAUCCUUAUUGUCGACUUUUGGAAACCAGCUAUAAAAGCCUACACACUCCACGUUCAAAAACACACUGUAAGUGAAGAAACACCGUCCAGAGAUGAAAGAAGUGCGGCUACACCACCAGCAGUAAUAAAAGAGAAAUUUUCACUUACCUGAAAGGGAGCCACUCUAGACUUAAAUGCAAGUUAACAGAAUUAACCAUUUGUAAAGGUACCAAGUUUACCAGGAAGUUACUAAGCCCUCACCAUAAGAAGGCAUAUCUGAGAACAGGUGUAUUUCUGGCCAAGAGUAAAACUUUAAUUCUUUUUUUUCUCCUCUCAUAAAACAAUUGAAAAACAAGGAAAUAAGUUGUUUGACACCAAGGCAGGCUAUGACAAUUGUGAGAAUGCAUAUUUCCAACAAUGGCUGUUACACAAAAAUAGACAGGCAGCUUCAGAUCAAGAGCUGUUAACCAAGCACAGGUACGACCAAAGCUCAUUUGUGGAUACAUUGUUUACCCCAGAAAGGUGUAAAAGGACUAGAAAAAACUGAAAGCAGAAUGGAAAAAGUAUUAGACACUAUUUAACCCCCUAGAGUUUUCAAUGUAGAGAGAAGGAAAGGAGAUUAAGAGGUAACAGGGACUGGGAACCUUGGUACCAAGGCUAGGGAGGAGAGUUUCUGCCUGAAAAACUGGAGUCACUAGGAGCCCAAGAGGUAAGCCAAACGGAUAUUUGAAGGAGAAAUCCAAAGUAAAAUUCCCUGAGCUUGGAAAACCCAAGCCCAUAAUAACAGAGGGAAAGAAGGUGUUUUUAUCAUGUUUCAAACUUAAGUUUAAGGAAAUGACGGCAAGGCCCAAAAGGGAGAGUGGCUAUAACUUGAUCUUAUGCUGAUAUAAACAGGUGAUCCUCAACCAACUGUAAUGUUCAUUUAGUUAUUACUCACACACAUUCAGUGUUACCAUGCAGAAGUCAAGUGUAUACCCUGGGAGACAAAGGGAUGAGUUAUAGUUCUUUCUCUUUCUCCUAUACCAAGGGUGAGAGCCAGGUCCCCAUCACUGGACUCUUACAUUCCAUGGAUUAAUGCCAUGAUACGCCAGAAUACACACUGAUCUACCAGUGUCCCAGAGUGGUAGUCUGCAGACCUAUCUGUACAUGAGAGCUCAUACAGGGAUUUGGCAAUUACAAAGAAGCCAGUACCCACGUACUUUUAAAGGAAGUUCAAAUCUACUUCUCUUUUGAAGUCAGUCCCUUAGUUGAUUUCAGCAGUCUUUGAAAACUCAUGUUCCCCAAACUCGUCUGAGUUAUGAACAAUCUCUGUGUAAAAUGCUUUUAAUCACUCUGUUCCACAUUUUGCCACUGCCCCGGCCACAAUAACAGGGAGUCCAGUAACAGGAGUGCAGCAUGGUGAGGUGGUGGAUCAGGUUAGGUCCCUUAAAAACUCUACGUUUCCUGUAAUUCAGAAAAUAAAAAGCAACCCAGAUGGUGGUUUGGGAAUAUGAAAAUAGAUAAUAUCCUCAUGAGGGAAACACUUAGUUUAGCUUCACUUAUGUUUGCACUUUCACUUAGAUAUUUAGACUUGAUUAGUAGGGAAUUAAGGAAGGUUGACCACAUGGCAGAAAAACAGACCAAACUCCGAAUAAAGGAAGACGGCAUUAUGACCACAUUGGAAGAAAACUUAGUCUCUGUAGACAAGCUGAAGAGGAAUGGAAGACAAAGGAAAUGUUACUUGGGGCAAAGAUUAGAGAAGAUGUAAGAAGAGAAGCAAGAGUUAAGGAACAACAUUAAAAAAUUAGAGAAAUAGCUAACCGGAAGGAAGAGUGAGCUUUUAACAUAAACUAUAGGGGCACAAGGAAAACCUGGAGGUGAUGGAAAUGUUUACUUGGAUUGUGGUGAUGGUUUCAUGAAUUUAUACAUAUGUCAAAACUGAACAAAUGAUAUAUUUAAAUAUGUAUGGCUUAUUGGACUUCAGCUAUACUUCAAUAAAGUUGUUU
Manis pentadactyla (Chinese pangolin) is the source of this 2327-nucleotide RNA transcript. It is a transcript of the gene named fibrous sheath-interacting protein 2-like, with no coding region annotated. The record is from RefSeq and is a predicted model, not a curated record. Lineage: Eukaryota; Metazoa; Chordata; Mammalia; Pholidota; Manidae. The transcript is spliced from 6 exons.